AUUGAACGCUGGCGGCAUGCUUUACACAUGCAAGUCGAACGGCAGCGGGGGCUUCGGCCCGCCGGCGAGUGGCGAACGGGUGAGUAAUGCAUCGGAACGUGCCCAGUCGUGGGGGAUAACACAUCGAAAGAUGUGCUAAUACCGCAUACGUCCUGAGGGAGAAAGCGGGGGAUCUUCGGACCUCGCGCGAUUGGAGCGGCCGAUGUCGGAUUAGCUAGUUGGUGGGGUAAAAGCCCACCAAGGCGACGAUCCGUAGCGGGUCUGAGAGGAUGAUCCGCCACACUGGGACUGAGACACGGCCCAGACUCCUACGGGAGGCAGCAGUGGGGAAUUUUGGACAAUGGGGGCAACCCUGAUCCAGCCAUGCCGCGUGAGUG
This 377-nucleotide ribosomal RNA is filed under the name uncultured bacterium. Its description in RNAcentral is "bacterial SSU rRNA". It matches the Rfam family "Bacterial small subunit ribosomal RNA", at positions 28 to 407 of the family's 1533-position model. The record is from RNAcentral.